CCUACGGGAGGCAGCAGUGAGGAAUAUUGGUCAAUGGGCGCGAGCCUGAACCAGCCAUGCCGCGUGAAGGAUGACGGCCCUACGAGUUGUAAACUGCUUUUAUAAAAGAGUAAAGGUAGGGACGCGUGCCUAUCUGUACGUACCUUACGAAUAAGGAUCGGCUAACUCCGUGCCAGCAGCCGCGGUAAUACGGAGGAUGCGAGCGUUAUCCGGAUUUAUUGGGUUUAAAGGGGGCGUAGGGGGAUGGUUAAGUAAGUUGUGAAAGUUUGGGGCUCAACUGUGGAAUUGCAGUUGAAACUGGCCGUCUUGAGUGCAGUAGAGGUGGGCGGAAUUCGUGGUGUAGCGGUGAAAUGCUUAGAUAUCACGAAGAACACCGAUUGCGAAGGCAGCUCACUGGACUGCAACUGACGCUGAGGCACGAAAGUGUGGGUAGCAAACAGGAUUAGAUACCCGUGUAGUC
RNAcentral lists this ribosomal RNA (460 nucleotides) under uncultured bacterium. RNAcentral describes it as "partial 16S ribosomal RNA". It matches the Rfam family "Bacterial small subunit ribosomal RNA", at positions 338 to 795 of the family's 1533-position model. The record is from RNAcentral.